Molecule: ribosomal RNA, 395 nt
Filed under: uncultured bacterium
Lineage: Bacteria
Description: bacterial SSU rRNA
Rfam family: Bacterial small subunit ribosomal RNA
Source: RNAcentral
GUGUCAGCAGCCGCGGUAAUACGUAGGGUGCGAGCGUUAAUCGGAAUUACUGGGCGUAAAGUGUGCGCAGGCGGCCGCGCAAGUCGAGUGUGAAAGCCCCGAGCUUAACUUGGGAAUUGCGCUCGAAACUACGUGGCUGGAGUGUGGCAGAGGAAGGUGGAAUUCCACGUGUAGCGGUGAAAUGCGUAGAGAUGUGGAGGAACACCGAUGGCGAAGGCAGCCUUCUGGGCCAACACUGACGCUCAUGCACGAAAGCGUGGGGAGCAAACAGGAUUAGAUACCCUGGUAGUCCACGCCCUAAACGAUGAUGACUAGUUGUUGGAGGAGUUAAAUCCUUUAGUAACGCAGCUAACGCGUGAAGUCAUCCGCCUGGGGAGUACGGUCGCAAGAUUAAA